Non-coding RNA from Biomphalaria pfeifferi, 457 nucleotides. NCBI's taxonomy places the organism in Eukaryota, Metazoa, Mollusca, Gastropoda, Planorbidae. The record is from the annotation of a GenBank genome assembly.
UCAUGUUUGAAUGUUUUAUUUCUUCAUAAAAAUAGUUCAAGUUCAUAAGAAUUCAAUAUUUACAAUAACAGUGACAGUAUAUAACAAGACAUCAUAACAUUAAUAAGUCUUCAUCUGUUGCCACAGCAAGCUUUCACCAUAGCCAAUAUAUUUAAGCACAGAUUAGGUUGUAACAUCAGAAUUUCCAUGAGAUAUGAGAUAAAUAAAUAACAACCAAAUCCUUAGCUAUACUUUUAACUCACAUUUUCAAUUGUUGGACUAACCUUUUUUGUUGUUUAAUUUCAAUUCUAGAAACAUACAAGAUUUAGUAAAAUUCUACUAACAAUUUCUUAGGAAAAGUGAAAUAAUGGUAACUGCCUUCCUAAAGUUGAAAAAUGGAAUAGAGGGAACAUACAAAUUGUCCUUAACAAGAUAUAUCUAGUGGCUCAAGUUAUUUGUUUUAUUUUUUGGGGGGGGG